UACGGAGGAUCCGAGCGUUAUCCGGAUUUAUUGGGUUUAAAGGGUGCGUAGGCGGUUUGAUAAGUUAGAGGUGAAAUGUCGGGGCUCAACCCCGAAACUGCCUCUAAUACUGUUGGACUAGAGAAUAGUUGCGGUAGGCGGAAUGUAUGGUGUGGCGGUGAAAUGCUUAGAGAUCAUACAGAACACCGAUUGCGAAGGCAGCUUACCAAACUAUAUCUGACGUUGAGGCACGAAAGCGUGGGUAGCAAACAGG
RNAcentral lists this ribosomal RNA (253 nucleotides) under uncultured bacterium. Its description in RNAcentral is "partial 16S ribosomal RNA". It matches the Rfam family "Bacterial small subunit ribosomal RNA", at positions 524 to 776 of the family's 1533-position model. The record is from RNAcentral.